CUAAAUUUGACUGUUUGCAUAAAAAAUUAAAAAACAACACAAUAUCCCAUCCAAGAAAUAAAAGUAUUUUUUUAAAUAAAAAAAUAUCAACUGGAUAUUGGCCAGCAGGUACCAGUUUACUUAAAGUAUCCAUCUUUAGCUCCCAUCACAGCCUCAAGACAACUCUUGGAUCUGGUGUAUGUAUUCCUCACUAUGUUCCUGGGAAUAUCUUUGAACACCUCCCUGAUCUUGGCCAUCAGCUCAGCCUUGAUAUUUUUGGCAAAACCGUUGCUAUUUUUCUCAACCUUGCCCCAUAGCUUGUUCUGGAGGGGUUUUUUUGCCUUUAUCAAGCAGUUUUUUUUGGCUUUGGCUGUCAGAAUUUGUUCCUUGUCUAUUUUUGUACAAAUGGUAAUGAAGGUCCUCAUUCAAGGCCAGCUUCAUGGUGGUAACACCCAUCUCUCUCACCAAAGCCCAGAUUCCCUUGCUCAGAUCUUCCAUCACUUUGUCCUAUUGUUGUUGGAUGAGUUCUGGCAUGCAAGACAUAGAGUCAAAUUCCCU
Molecule: long non-coding RNA, 537 nt
Organism: Octopus sinensis (East Asian common octopus)
Lineage: Eukaryota; Metazoa; Mollusca; Cephalopoda; Octopoda; Octopodidae
Exons: 3
Source: RefSeq, a predicted model, not a curated record